UACAGUUGUUUGUUUUGUUAACUGAAAAGUAGGAAAAAGAAGAAGAAAACAAUUAAGGUUAUUUAUAUGCAUCAGAUAUAGUGUUGACAACUCUAAAUCGAGUAUAGAGAGACCAGGGCAAACCAAAGUACAUAAAACUAAACAUUUACGUUAGAUCUGGCAAACUAUUCACUGUAAAUAAACCCUCGAAUGACUUAAGGGAUAAAACAAAAUACUGGAUAAUUGAUUGACCAAUUUCCGCAUAAGCAAGGUCCAUCAAAAAAUAACCUUGUGCUUGGAUGGAGGAAUUUGAAAUAUGUGAUUUGAAUUUGAUAAAAGUAUAUAUAUAUAUAUAUAGGCAAUGGCAUCUUGCUUUAAAAAGGCCCUGGCCUCGCCUAAUGCCAUAAGGUACCCUUUCGCUUUAGUGUCACCUUUCAACUUGAUAACACUGUUGCAACUCCAUGAAUCAGUCUAAAAAUUAUUAUUAUUCCAGGAGGUUUUACAAAGUGAUUCCCCAUUCAACUUGAUAACACUGUUGCAACUCCAUGAAUCAGUCUAAAAAUUAUUAUUAUUCCAGGAGGUUUUACAAAGUGAUUCCCCA
Molecule: unclassified non-coding RNA, 580 nt
Filed under: Hevea brasiliensis (rubber tree)
Lineage: Eukaryota; Viridiplantae; Streptophyta; Magnoliopsida; Malpighiales; Euphorbiaceae
Source: RNAcentral